CUGGUAUUCCCUCCUCCCAUGGCACGUUGGGAAGACUAGCAGCUUGUCCAGGUCAACGCGCAUCUCCCAGCCCUUACCAGGGCUCUGCCAACUUCCUCAGCACCUGAUUGUGUCGCCACCGGAAGCGCCCCUGCGUCAGCGCGACGUUGCAACCUGAAAGGAUAUGUUUGAGUCCUGCAUUGUCUUUGCUGCACAGGGAGCACUUGCCCUCGCUUCCAAACCACUGGGCGAGGUUUCAUAUAUAAAGCGCACCGGAUUAUAGGGCACAUUGAAGGAGUCAUAUUAUUAUAAUUUUUUUCUAAAUGUAAAACACUUCCUUGAGGUCUACAUAACAUGUAAUGGUGGUUCUUUGGUCAAAAUGUUGCAUACAUUAUGUUUUACAGAUAAUCUUCAAGCCGCUUUCUGACAGUGACAGUCGCUUCCGGAUGCGCCGUUUUGUGGGAAGUUUUAUUUACGUGGCUCAUCUUCGACAGCGUCUUCUCCCCGUCAUCUUUGUUGUAGCGGUGUAGCGUGCAAGGACGGGAGUGGAAGAAAUGUCAAAAGAUGGAGCAAACUGUUUUAAUGACAUUCAGACUUUACAUAAAUCAAUAACGGAGCAGCAUCUCCUCAUCCGGAUAUGUGUCCCAUGAAAAACCGUCCGACCAGAACUCUAAUAACUAAAGUUCCUUGGGUGAAUAAUAUAAACUCACUACACAGGUAUGUCUUAGCACUUUCAUGGCGAGUUAACUGACAGAUAUAAGUGAGCACUGUACACUACUUUAUAUUAGAAAUGGCAACAGCGGAGGAUGAACGUCCCAUAACAAGAAGAUAGAGAAAAAGAAGAAGCUUAUCGACUACGGUGUCGACACGGACUACAAAGGCGGAAAAUUUUCAGGAUUUAUGCAGAUCCCAAAUACAGAUCAGUAGGUACCAGAAGGUCAGAAAAGUUGCUUUUGCAUAAUAUUGUGAAACAAAACGCCAGAUAAUAUGUCUUACCUUAUACACACACCAUAAUAAUACUUGUAUGUUGAAGCACAUCAAGCGGUGCGGCUUCAUAGCUUACCAAAGUCGUACUAAAACAUUUUGAUAGAUUUUUGAUCGCCGUGUGUAAUGUUCUAUAUUUUCAAUGGAACAUAUAAAAUGUUGGUGUUGUUUACUUUAGUCGUGUUGCCAUCAUAGUGCAGUCUACACGUAUCGCUUAUGUUUGACUGCCAUCUACUGGUCACACUUAUCAUUGCACCAUGUACCAAAUAAAAUUGCUUCGAGGUCGGUAAGCAAAACCAGAAUUAUUCCGUAAAUUAGGCGCACCGGGUUAUAGGGUGCACUGUCGAGUUUUGAGUAAAAAAAAGGAUUUUAAGUGCGCCUUAUAGUCCGAAAAGUACAGUACUAUAUAUAUACACACACGAUAGCAGUAUUUAAUAUUUUAAAAAUAUAUAAAUUUGUUAAGUAGAUGGUAAUAACCACUGCUCAAGUAACAGCCCUUUUGCCCUCCAUGAGAAAAGUUACCUCUUUGCUGGAGUUUUUUUUUUAAUUCAUUGAAGAAUAAAAAUGACUCUCAUUGUCAAUAGUUCUCCCUAAAUAUGUUCUCAUAUUGACACUGCAUUUAUUUGACUUCUUGUGAGAAUUCUUCUCCGGUCUCCUCGACCGCGGCGCACUGAUCACAUGUAGUACGUCCCUUCUGCUUACAUGAACUUCCAGGUUUUGUCCUUCUUCCCAUUUUGUCUUUUUUCACUACAGCAGCAAUCGAGUCGCAUAACAAGCUUGGAGGAUCGCCGCGAGUUUCAUGUUUCGUUAUUCAAUCAAAUAACGGGACAGUGCGGUAGAAAAUGGAUGGAUGGAUGGAUGGAUGAAUGGACAGAGAUGUUUGGACAUGAAGACAUCAGAAAAUAUAUCCUAAAUAUGUGUAAAUAUCUUGACAAAUAGGAGACUUUGUAAGUAAAGAGCAGUCAGCAGCUCAAUCAAUCAAUCAAUCAAUGUUUAUUUAUAUAGCCCUAAAUCACAAGUGUCUCAAAGGGCUACACAAGCCACAACGACAUCCUCGGUACAGAGCCCACAUACGGGCAAGGAAAAACUCACCCCAGUGGGACGUCAAUGUGAAUGACUAUGAGAAACCUUGGAGAGGACCGCAUAUGUGGGUAACCCCCCACCCCUCCACCCCCAGGAAGAAAUUGUCAGCCAGCUUGAAAAAAUGUCUCAACAAUAAGUUACAUAAAGGAGCCCAGAUUUUUUUUUAAAUAAAAAUAAUUAUGUUAGCAAUAUUUUAGAAACCUUACAAUGUAUUAAAUCCAUAAACUGUGAUAGAAUUGUAUAGAAUUGAGUAGAUGGCGAGUUAUUGUGAUCCCAUAUUUUACCAACUUUCCAAGGAGAUUUCCCAUAUUUUGAAAUGCAAAUGUUGAUGCUCCACUGAACCGCAGCAUUAGACACAUGUAACAAAGGUGUUUGUGAAAUUCCCUGAUGUUGUUUGGUGCUAAAUUAACCAUCAACAUUAGUGCCGCGUAAAACAUUAUGUCACUACUAGUGUAACAUUUCCUAAAAAAUGUUUUUUUUUUUAAAUCUCAAAAGUCUUGUCCAGCUGUUAACUGAGAUAUACUAUUUAUGUUUCAAUAACUUUAAAAGACGUGUAAAUGAAUAUCGGCUCCAAAUAUCGGUUAUUGGUCUCCUUGACUACUAAUAAUCAGUAUUGGUAUCGACCCUGAAAAAAAAAUACUUGCAUGUGCUGACAAUGUCUGUGCUG
Molecule: long non-coding RNA, 2713 nt
Organism: Entelurus aequoreus (snake pipefish)
Lineage: Eukaryota; Metazoa; Chordata; Actinopteri; Syngnathiformes; Syngnathidae
Exons: 3
Source: RefSeq, a predicted model, not a curated record